CGGACGGGUGAGUAACGCGUGGGUAACCUGCCUCAUACCAGGGGGAUAACAGUUAGAAAUGACUGCUAACACCGCAUAAUAUAGUGAAACCGCAUGAUUUUGCUAUCAAAUAUUUAUAGGGUAUGAGAUGGGCCCGCGUCUGAUUAGCUAGUUGGUGGGGUAAAAGCCUACCAAGGCGACGAUCAGUAGCCGGCUUGAGAGAGUGACCGGCCACAUUGGGACUGAGACACGGCCCAAACUCCUACGGGAGGCAGGCAGUGGGGAAUAUUGGACAAUGGGGGAAACCCUGAUCCAGCGAACCGCCGCGUGAGUGAAGAAGUAUUUCGGUAUGUAAAGCUCUAUCAGCAGGGAAGAUAAUGACACGUACCUGACUAAGAAGCCCCGGCUAACUACGUGCCAGCAGCCGC
RNAcentral lists this ribosomal RNA (407 nucleotides) under uncultured bacterium. RNAcentral's name for it is "bacterial SSU rRNA". It matches the Rfam family "Bacterial small subunit ribosomal RNA", at positions 99 to 518 of the family's 1533-position model. The record is from RNAcentral.